This 190-nucleotide ribosomal RNA is filed under the name Staphylococcus aureus. Its description in RNAcentral is "partial 23S ribosomal RNA". It matches the Rfam family "Bacterial large subunit ribosomal RNA", at positions 1 to 188 of the family's 2925-position model. Lineage: Bacteria; Bacillati; Bacillota; Bacilli; Caryophanales; Staphylococcaceae. The record is from RNAcentral.
GAUUAAGUUAUUAAGGGCGCACGGUGGAUGCCUUGGCACUAGAAGCCAAUGAAGGACGUUACUAACGACGAUAUGCUUUGGGGAGCUGUAAGUAAGCUUUGAUCCAGAGAUUUCCGAAUGGGGAAACCCAGCAUGAGUUAUGUCAUGUUAUCGAUAUGUGAAUACAUAGCAUAUCAGAAGGCACACCCGG